CAGAAGGGAGCUUGCUCCCGGAUGUUAGCGGCGGACGGGUGAGUAACACGUGGGUAACCUGCCUGUAAGACUGGGAUAACUCCGGGAAACCGGAGCUAAUACCGGAUAGUUCCUUGAACCGCAUGGUUCAAGAAUGAAAGACGGUUUCGGCUGUCACUUACAGAUGGACCCGCGGCGCAUUAGCUAGUUGGUGGGGUAAUGGCUCACCAAGGCGACGAUGCGUAGCCGACCUGAGAGGGUGAUCGGCCACACUGGGACUGAGACACGGCCCAGACUCCUACGGGAGGCAGCAGUAGGGAAUCUUCCGCAAUGGACGAAAGUCUGACGGAGCAACGCCGCGUGAGUGAUGAAGGUUUUCGGAUCGUAAAGCUCUGUUGUUAGGGAAGAACAAGUGCGAGAGUAACUGCUCGCACCUUGACGGUACCUAACCAGAAAGCCACGGCUAACUACGUGCCAGCAGCCGCGGUAAUACGUAGGUGGCAAGCGUUGUCCGGAAUUAUUGGGCGUAAAGGGCUCGCAGGCGGUUUCUUAAGUCUGAUGUGAAAGCCCCCGGCUCAACCGGGGAGGGUCAUUGGAAACUGGGAAACUUGAGUGCAGAAGAGGAGAGUGGAAUUCCACGUGUAGCGGUGAAAUGCGUAGAGAUGUGGAGGAACACCAGUGGCGAAGGCGACUCUCUGGUCUGUAACUGACGCUGAGGAGCGAAAGCGUGGGGAGCGAACAGGAUUAGAUACCCUGGUAGUCCCACGCCGUAAACGAUGAGUGCUAAGUG
This 769-nucleotide ribosomal RNA is filed under the name Bacillus sp. (in: firmicutes). Its description in RNAcentral is "bacterial SSU rRNA". It matches the Rfam family "Bacterial small subunit ribosomal RNA", at positions 69 to 822 of the family's 1533-position model. Lineage: Bacteria; Bacillati; Bacillota; Bacilli; Caryophanales; Bacillaceae. The record is from RNAcentral.